GACGAACGCUGGCGGCGCGCCUAACACAUGCAAGUCGAACGAGCGAGAGAGAGCUUGCUUUCUCGAGCGAGUGGCGAACGGGUGAGUAACGCGUGAGGAACCUGCCUCAAAGAGGGGGACAACAGUUGGAAACGACUGCUAAUACCGCAUAAGCCCACGGUGCCGCAUGGCACAGAGGGAAAAGGAGCAAUCCGCUUUGAGAUGGCCUCGCGUCCGAUUAGCUAGUUGGUGAGGUAAUGGCCCACCAAGGCGACGAUCGGUAGCCGGACUGAGAGGUUGAACCGGCACAUUGGGACUGGGACAACGCCCAGACUCCCAACGGAGGAAGCAAGUGGGAAUAAUGCACCAUGGGGGAAACCCUGAUGCCGCCACGUCGCGUGGAGGAAGAAGGUUCUCGGAUUGGAAACUCCUGUUGUUGGGGAAGAUAAUGACGGUACCCAACAAGGAAGUGACGGCUAACUACGUG
Molecule: ribosomal RNA, 466 nt
Filed under: uncultured bacterium
Lineage: Bacteria
Description: partial 16S ribosomal RNA
Rfam family: Bacterial small subunit ribosomal RNA
Source: RNAcentral